GUCUGGGUGGCUCAGUCGGUUGGGUGUCUGACUUUGGCUCAGGUCAUGAUCUCACGGUUUGUGGGUUCGAGCCCCACAUCAGGCU
Molecule: transfer RNA, 85 nt
Filed under: Felis catus (domestic cat)
Lineage: Eukaryota; Metazoa; Chordata; Mammalia; Carnivora; Felidae
Rfam family: tRNA
About the family: Transfer RNA (tRNA) molecules are approximately 80 nucleotides in length. Their secondary structure includes four short double-helical elements and three loops (D, anti-codon, and T loops).
Source: Rfam by way of RNAcentral